Molecule: ribosomal RNA, 1576 nt
Filed under: Lactiplantibacillus plantarum
Lineage: Bacteria; Bacillati; Bacillota; Bacilli; Lactobacillales; Lactobacillaceae
Description: Lactobacillus plantarum 16S ribosomal RNA
Rfam family: Bacterial small subunit ribosomal RNA
Source: RNAcentral
UUAAUUUGAGAGUUUGAUCCUGGCUCAGGACGAACGCUGGCGGCGUGCCUAAUACAUGCAAGUCGAACGAACUCUGGUAUUGAUUGGUGCUUGCAUCAUGAUUUACAUUUGAGUGAGUGGCGAACUGGUGAGUAACACGUGGGAAACCUGCCCAGAAGCGGGGGAUAACACCUGGAAACAGAUGCUAAUACCGCAUAACAACUUGGACCGCAUGGUCCGAGUUUGAAAGAUGGCUUCGGCUAUCACUUUUGGAUGGUCCCGCGGCGUAUUAGCUAGAUGGUGAGGUAACGGCUCACCAUGGCAAUGAUACGUAGCCGACCUGAGAGGGUAAUCGGCCACAUUGGGACUGAGACACGGCCCAAACUCCUACGGGAGGCAGCAGUAGGGAAUCUUCCACAAUGGACGAAAGUCUGAUGGAGCAACGCCGCGUGAGUGAAGAAGGGUUUCGGCUCGUAAAACUCUGUUGUUAAAGAAGAACAUAUCUGAGAGUAACUGUUCAGGUAUUGACGGUAUUUAACCAGAAAGCCACGGCUAACUACGUGCCAGCAGCCGCGGUAAUACGUAGGUGGCAAGCGUUGUCCGGAUUUAUUGGGCGUAAAGCGAGCGCAGGCGGUUUUUUAAGUCUGAUGUGAAAGCCUUCGGCUCAACCGAAGAAGUGCAUCGGAAACUGGGGAACUUGAGUGCAGAAGAGGACAGUGGAACUCCAUGUGUAGCGGUGAAAUGCGUAGAUAUAUGGAAGAACACCAGUGGCGAAGGCGGCUGUCUGGUCUGUAACUGACGCUGAGGCUCGAAAGUAUGGGUAGCAAACAGGAUUAGAUACCCUGGUAGUCCAUACCGUAAACGAUGAAUGCUAAGUGUUGGAGGGUUUCCGCCCUUCAGUGCUGCAGCUAACGCAUUAAGCAUUCCGCCUGGGGAGUACGGCCGCAAGGCUGAAACUCAAAGGAAUUGACGGGGGCCCGCACAAGCGGUGGAGCAUGUGGUUUAAUUCGAAGCUACGCGAAGAACCUUACCAGGUCUUGACAUACUAUGCAAAUCUAAGAGAUUAGACGUUCCCUUCGGGGACAUGGAUACAGGUGGUGCAUGGUUGUCGUCAGCUCGUGUCGUGAGAUGUUGGGUUAAGUCCCGCAACGAGCGCAACCCUUAUUAUCAGUUGCCAGCAUUAAGUUGGGCACUCUGGUGAGACUGCCGGUGACAAACCGGAGGAAGGUGGGGAUGACGUCAAAUCAUCAUGCCCCUUAUGACCUGGGCUACACACGUGCUACAAUGGAUGGUACAACGAGUUGCGAACUCGCGAGAGUAAGCUAAUCUCUUAAAGCCAUUCUCAGUUCGGAUUGUAGGCUGCAACUCGCCUACAUGAAGUCGGAAUCGCUAGUAAUCGCGGAUCAGCAUGCCGCGGUGAAUACGUUCCCGGGCCUUGUACACACCGCCCGUCACACCAUGAGAGUUUGUAACACCCAAAGUCGGUGGGGUAACCUUUUAGGAACCAGCCGCCUAAGGUGGGACAGAUGAUUAGGGUGAAGUCGUAACAAGGUAGCCGUAGGAGAACCUGCGGCUGGAUCACCUCCUUUCUAAGGAA